UGACCUGCCAGACAACCUUUUUUACUUUUUUUUCAAAGGUUUGAC
Molecule: ribosomal RNA, 45 nt
Filed under: Scytalidium cuboideum
Lineage: Eukaryota; Fungi; Ascomycota; Leotiomycetes
Description: partial large subunit ribosomal RNA
Source: RNAcentral